CUGAAUGAUAGUCGGGCUGAAGACUCUACUUGACUAGCUGAGAGGAGGUGCAUGGCCGUCGUCAGUCGUACUGUGAAGCAUCCUGUUAAGUCAGGCAACGAGCGAGACCCACGCCAACAGUUGCCAGCUCGUCCUCCGGGAUGGUGGGGACACUGUUGGGACCGCCUCUGCUAAAGAGGAGGAAGGAAUGGGCAACGGUAGGUCAGCAUGCCCCGAAUUAUCUGGGCUACACGCGGGCUACAAUGGGUGGGACAAUGGGUAUCGACACCGAAAGGUGAAGGCAAUCUCCUAAACCCAUCCGUAGUUCGGAUUGUGGGCUGCAACUCGCCCACAUGAAGCUGGAAUCUGUAGUAAUCGUGUCUCAAAAUGGCACGGUGAAUAUGUCCCUGCUCCUU
This 395-nucleotide ribosomal RNA is filed under the name uncultured Methanomicrobiales archaeon. Its description in RNAcentral is "bacterial SSU rRNA". It matches the Rfam family "Archaeal small subunit ribosomal RNA", at positions 943 to 1338 of the family's 1478-position model. Lineage: Archaea; Methanobacteriati; Methanobacteriota; Methanomicrobia; Methanomicrobiales. The record is from RNAcentral.